GAUGAACGCUGGCGGCGUGCUUAACACAUGCCAGUCGAACGGAAAGGCCCAAGCUUGCUUGGGUACUCGAGUGGCGAACGGGUGAGUAACACGUGGGUGAUCUGCCCUGCACUUCGGGAUAAGCCUGGGAAACUGGGUCUAAUACCGGAUAGGACCACAUUUUGGAUGGUGUGGUGGAAAGUUUUUCGGUGUGGGAUGAGCUCGCGGCCUAUCAGCUUGUUGGUGGGGUAAUGGCCUACCAAGGCGUCGACGGGUAGCCGGCCUGAGAGGGUGUACGGCCACAUUGGGACUGAGAUACGGCCCAGACUCCGACGGGAGGCAGCAGUGGGGAAUAUUGCACAAUGGGCGCAAGCCUGAUGCAGCGACGCCGCGUGGGGGAUGACGGCCUUCGGGUUGUAAACUCCUUUCGCUAGGGACGAAGCGUUAUGUGACGGUACCUGGAGAAGAAGCACCGGCUAACUACGUG
Molecule: ribosomal RNA, 466 nt
Filed under: uncultured bacterium
Lineage: Bacteria
Description: partial 16S ribosomal RNA
Rfam family: Bacterial small subunit ribosomal RNA
Source: RNAcentral